UUAGCUAAAGCACCUGUCUCAUAAACAGGAGAUCCUGGGUUCAACUUCCAGUGGUGCCUUGUGGCCUUUGCUCACAUUUUCCUA
Molecule: microRNA precursor, 84 nt
Filed under: Pelodiscus sinensis (Chinese soft-shelled turtle)
Lineage: Eukaryota; Metazoa; Chordata; Testudines; Trionychidae
Description: miRNA (ENSPSIG00000019646.1)
Rfam family: tRNA (bases 1-59)
About the family: Transfer RNA (tRNA) molecules are approximately 80 nucleotides in length.
Source: RNAcentral